GGGUCAGUAGGCUGGUCGUGCCACCGGUACGUACUGGUCUCAAUGAUUACUCCUUCCUGAAGAACCGUAAUGCCAUUAAUUUGGUGUUGCGGGGAAACAGGACUGUUACUUUGAAAAAAUUAGAGUGUUUAAAGCAAGCUAACGCUUGAAUAAAUUAGCAUGGAAUAAUGAAAUAGGACGAUCGAUCCUAUUUUGUUGGUUUCUAGGAUUGACGUA
This 216-nucleotide ribosomal RNA is filed under the name Glomeromycotina sp. RNAcentral's name for it is "partial small subunit ribosomal RNA". The stretch from base 40 to 216 matches the Rfam family "Eukaryotic small subunit ribosomal RNA", at positions 686 to 864 of the family's 1831-position model. Lineage: Eukaryota; Fungi; Glomeromycota. The record is from RNAcentral.